AUUGAACGCUAGCGGGAUGCCUUACACAUGCAAGUCGAACGGAGUGGCGAACGGGUGAGGAAUGUAUCGGAACGUGCCCAGUAGCGGGGGAUAACUACGCGAAAGCGUAGCUAAUACCGCAUACUAUUGGAGCGGCCGUUAUCGUAGUAGCUAGUUGGUGGGGUAACGGCUCACCAAGGCGACGAUCCGUAGCUGGUUUGAGAGGACGACCAGCCACCCUGGUCCGGAGACACGGCCCAGACUCCUACGGGAGGCAGCAGUCGGGAAUUUUGGACAAGGGGGGGUACCCUGAUCCAGCCAUCCCGCGGGUUCGAUGAGGUCCUUCGGGUUGUAAAGCACUUUUGGCAGGAAAGCGGUACCUGCAGAAUAAGCACCGGCUAACUACGUGCCAGCCGCCGCGGUAAUUC
RNAcentral lists this ribosomal RNA (407 nucleotides) under uncultured bacterium. RNAcentral's name for it is "partial 16S ribosomal RNA". It matches the Rfam family "Bacterial small subunit ribosomal RNA", at positions 30 to 526 of the family's 1533-position model. The record is from RNAcentral.